UUAAAAAAUGGGGCUCAGUAUCGCUUCUCGGCCUUUUGGCUAAGAUCAAGUGUAAAAAAUGGGGCUCAG
This 69-nucleotide microRNA precursor is filed under the name Mus musculus (house mouse). RNAcentral's name for it is "predicted gene, 54976 (ENSMUSG00002076133.1)". The record is from RNAcentral. Lineage: Eukaryota; Metazoa; Chordata; Mammalia; Rodentia; Muridae.